This is a transfer RNA of Ovis aries (sheep), 72 nucleotides long. It matches the Rfam family "tRNA". From Rfam's summary of the family: Transfer RNA (tRNA) molecules are approximately 80 nucleotides in length. Their secondary structure includes four short double-helical elements and three loops (D, anti-codon, and T loops). Further hydrogen bonds mediate the characteristic L-shaped molecular structure. tRNAs have two regions of fundamental functional importance: the anti-codon, which is responsible for specific mRNA codon recognition, and the 3' end, to which the tRNAs corresponding amino acid is attached (by aminoacyl-tRNA synthetases). tRNAs cope with the degeneracy of the genetic code in two manners: having more than one tRNA (with a specific anti-codon) for a particular amino acid; and 'wobble' base-pairing, i.e. permitting non-standard base-pairing at the 3rd anti-codon position. NCBI's taxonomy places the organism in Eukaryota, Metazoa, Chordata, Mammalia, Artiodactyla, Bovidae. The record is from Rfam.
UCCCUACUAGCUUAGAUGGUAAAGCAUCUGACUGCAGUGCAGGAGACCUGGGUUCGAUCCCUGGGUUGGGAA